RNAcentral lists this ribosomal RNA (2661 nucleotides) under Triticum aestivum (bread wheat). Its description in RNAcentral is "partial small subunit ribosomal RNA". The record is from RNAcentral. Lineage: Eukaryota; Viridiplantae; Streptophyta; Magnoliopsida; Poales; Poaceae.
AUGGCGACGCCGUCCGCGCCAGCUGAUUGUUCUCCGCCCCUCAUGAUCCUCCUCCUCCUCCUCGUCUUCCUCCCCCUCGCCGUCUCGUGUGGCGAUGACGGCAGCGGCGGGUACGACGUCGUGUCGCUGACCCAGUCGGGGAGCGCUCUGUCGGCGCGGCUGGAGCUUGUGCUUGCCGGCGAGACGCCGGCGGACGCGGCGCUCGGGGCUGGUGCCCAAAGGCUCUGCCUCACUGCAAGCCUCGAGACGGACAGCCGGCUGCGCGUGCGCAUCACCGACGGCGACCGCCCGCGAUGGGAGGUGCCGCAGGACAUCAUCCCGCGCCCGGCGCCGGAGGACGACCUCCACAACGCGCCGCCCGCCUCCUCGACGCCGCUCCAGGGCAGCCGCGUCCUGUCCGCCGCGGGCUCCGACCUCGUCCUCACCGUCCACGCCUCCCCGUUCCGCUUCACCGUGUCCCGCCGCUCCACCGGCGACGUGCUCUUCGACACCGCCCCCGGCCUCGUCUUCCGGGACAAGUACCUGGAGGUGACGUCGGCGCUGCCGGCGGGCCGGGCGUCGCUGUACGGGCUGGGCGAGCAGACGAAGGGCUCGUUCCGGCUGCGGCACAACGACACCUUCACGCUCUGGAACGCCGACAUCGGUGCGGCCCACGUGGACGUCAACCUCUACGGCGCGCACCCCUUCUACAUGGACGUGCGGCCGCCGGGGGCCGCCCACGGCGUGCUCCUGCUCAGCAGCAACGGCAUGGACGUGCUCUACGGCGGGUCCUACGUCACCUACAAGGUCAUCGGCGGCGUCCUCGACUUCUACUUCUUCGCCGGCCCCUCCCCGCUCGCCGUCGUCGACCAGUACACCCAGCUCAUCGGCCGCCCUGCCCCCAUGCCCUAUUGGUCCUUCGGGUUCCACCAGUGCCGGUACGGGUACCUGAACGUGUCUGACCUGGAGCGCGUGGUGGCCGGCUACGCCAAGGCCAGGAUCCCGCUGGAGGUGAUGUGGACGGACAUCGACUACAUGGACGGCUUCAAGGACUUCACCCUGGACCACGUGAACUUCACCGCCGCCGAGCUCCGGCCGUUCGUCGACCGGCUUCACCGCAACGCCCAGAAAUACGUCCUCAUCCUAGACCCAGGGAUCCGCAUCGACGCGACGUACGGGACGUUCGUCCGCGGGAUGCAGCAGGACAUCUUCCUGAAGCGGAACGGCACCAACUUCCUCGGCAACGUGUGGCCCGGCGACGUCUACUUCCCGGACUUCAUGCACCCGCGCGCCGCCGAGUUCUGGGCGCGGGAGAUCUCCCUCUUCCGCCGGACCAUCCCCGUCGACGGGCUGUGGAUCGACAUGAACGAGAUCUCCAACUUCUACAACCCGGAGCCGAUGAACGCGCUCGACGACCCGCCCUACCGGAUCAACAACAACGGCACGCACCGCCCCAUCAAUAACAAGACGGUGCCGGCCUCCGCCGUGCACUACGGCGGCGUCACCGAGUACGACGCGCACAACCUCUUCGGCCUCCUCGAGGCCCGCGCCACGCACCGCGCGCUGCUGAGGGACACCGGCCGCCGCCCCUUCGUGCUCAGCAGGUCCACCUUCGUCGGCUCCGGCCGGUACACGGCGCACUGGACUGGCGACAACGCCGCCACGUGGGGCGACCUCCGCUACUCCAUCAACACCAUGCUCAGCUUCGGCCUGUUCGGCAUGCCCAUGAUCGGCGCCGACAUCUGCGGCUUCAACGGCGACACGACAGAGGAGCUCUGCGGCCGGUGGAUCCAGCUCGGCGCCUUCUACCCGUUCUCGAGGGACCACUCGGCGAUCUUCACCGUCCGGCGAGAGCUGUACCUGUGGCCGUCGGUGGCGGCGUCGGCGAGGAAGGCGCUCGGGCUCCGGUACCAGCUGCUGCCUUACUUCUACACGCUCAUGUACGAGGCGCACACGACGGGGGCGCCCAUCGCGCGGCCGCUCUUCUUCUCCUACCCGCACGACGUCGCCACGUACGGCGUGGACAGGCAGUUCCUGCUCGGCCGCGGCGUGCUCGUCUCGCCGGUGCUCGAGCCGGGCGCCACCACCGUCGACGCCUACUUCCCCGCGGGCCGGUGGUUCAGCCUCUACGACCACUCCCUCACCGUCGCAACGAAGACCGGCGAGCACGUCACGCUCCCGGCGCCGGCCGACACGGUGAACGUGCACGUGGCCGGCGGAACCAUCCUGCCGCUGCAGCAGAGCGCGCUGACGACCUCGCGCGCGCGCCGGACCGCGUUCCACCUCCUGGUCGCGCUCGCUGAGGACGGCACGGCCAGCGGGGACCUUUUCCUGGACGACGGCGAGUCGCCGGAGAUGGGCGGCAGAAGCGAUUGGAGCCUGGUAAGGUUCAGCUGCGCAACGGGGAGCGACGGGUCCAUCAAAGUGAGGUCGGAGGUGGUGCACAACUCGUACGCACAGACCAGGACGCUGGUGAUCAGCAAGGUGGUGCUCAUGGGCCACCGGUCGCCGGCGGCGCCGAAGAAGCUCACCGUCCACGUCAACGGCGCGGAGGUGGAGCCGAGCUCGCCAGCCGGCACACGGUACCAGAACGCAGGAGGACUCGGCGGCGUCGCCCACAUCGGCGGGCUGUCGCUGGUCGUCGGGGAGGAGUUCGAGCUGAAGGUCGCCGUGUCCUAUUGA